AAUAGGUGACAAGAACAUGUACAGAAGUAUAACAAUUUAAAAGUUAUAUACUAUGGAUUCAUAGGAUGUACAUAUACAGUAACAUCAAAUAUUAACUGCCAGGAAUACUUAACACUUGUUAUUUUCUAUAAAGCUUCACUCUUUGCAGAAAGCAUGGGAUUUCCAAGUGAAGAUUUAACUACACAGAAUUGUGUUUCAACAUAUGUAAAGUGGCUUAAUCAAAACUGCCAGCCAAACUUCUGGAAGGGCGGAAAAGCAGCUGAAACAUGGAAAAUAAGUUAAGGACAACAAAAGUAAAAUUGUCUCAAGCUAUGACUGUAGUGGAAAGCAGGACAAUUAAUAUUCACCAGAAUGAAGAGGAAAUUGCUCCAAGAAAAAAAAACUAACUGAAAUAUCACAGAGAAUUAACCAUUUCUUCUGAAACUCUAUGGAUAUGUUUUCUCUAAAAAUAUUCUAAUGUUCAUCCCUCUCAACAAACUUCAGAAAAAUCUUCUUGAAAGAUUGGACCUAAUUAUUCUUUCCAGAUACAGAAAAGCCACUAUUCUCUGUGUUCUUGGACACUCCGCUGAUGGCCAAGGACGAACACUUUUUUUCUUGCAGUACAUCACAAACAUAAUUUGUUGCAGAAUCACACACACACAGAUAUGUUUUGACUAUAGUCCUAAGAAUGUACAAGUCAGCUGUCAUCAAUAUCUUAUGUCUAUUGUUCCACUCAGUUUCCAUCUGUUACUGGCUGAGUAGCAAGGAAAUUGUUUGCUGGUGUAUCAUGCCACAUGGAAUUUUGUGAGAGCUCUUUCUCUCCCCCCCCCAUUAGGUUCCUCUCUAUAUUUGAAAAAUGUUGGAAUAUUUUCCUUUCUAGUGGUCCUUAGUUCUGCUUCCUGCUCUGUACUCUGGCCUACAGGCUAUUAUCAAUGUGCAUCUGUAAUUAUGUUUGUUGUGUGCUCUGACUUUGUCUUCUUAGAAAAGACAAUUCCUUUGAGAUGUUAUUGAAGGUUUUCCUGUAGCUUGGAUAUGUAAUCAUAGCCAGAUCAAAACCCAUAGCUAAACAUUACUGUUUUAAUAUAUAAAUAAGAAGGCAAAGUACUGUGUCUCUGCUAGCAAAACUUUAGGUAUGUUAAGACAAUCUAUCUGAGUUGUAAUCUCCAGAGCAACAGGAGAUGGCAACUAAUAGUUUUCUGCAUUUCUUUGCUACCAUCAGGUGUUAUUUGGAAUUAUUCCGCUAAAAUAUGUUUACUCUAUAUUAAUUCACCACUGCAGCAUUUUCCAGAUUUUCUGGAUAACUCCUGAAAGAUUGAAAAAAAAUAGAGUUAAGUAUAAAAUCUA
This is a long non-coding RNA of Crotalus tigris (Tiger rattlesnake), 1323 nucleotides long. RefSeq lists it as uncharacterized. The record is from RefSeq and is a predicted model, not a curated record. Lineage: Eukaryota; Metazoa; Chordata; Lepidosauria; Squamata; Viperidae. The transcript is spliced from 2 exons.